RNAcentral lists this unclassified non-coding RNA (216 nucleotides) under Hevea brasiliensis (rubber tree). The record is from RNAcentral. Lineage: Eukaryota; Viridiplantae; Streptophyta; Magnoliopsida; Malpighiales; Euphorbiaceae.
GAGAUUUUGGUAUCCCUCAUCAUGCAUCCAAGCGAUCGCUGAGCUCAUUUGGUCUGGAACUUUCCAGCAGCUAGAAGCUCGAUGGAUUACGUCCGGUGUACGAAAAAGCAAAAAAGUUAAUCCAAGAUUCAUCUCACAGCACCAUCAUAUUCAUCAGGAUUUAUUGGAAUCACCAAUUCUACAAUGCAACAUACAUACAUACAUACAUACAUACAU